Molecule: non-coding RNA, 110 nt
Organism: Daldinia vernicosa
Lineage: Eukaryota; Fungi; Ascomycota; Sordariomycetes; Xylariales; Hypoxylaceae
Source: the annotation of a RefSeq genome assembly
GUCCCGGUGGUGCAGUGGUAAGCACAUUCCAUCAUUACGCGCUUCCGAGAAAUGAACUUGGAUGAGAGGUCGAGGUUGGAAAGGCAUGGGUUCAAAUCCCAUCCGGGCUG